This is a non-coding RNA of Marasmius tenuissimus, 91 nucleotides long. The record is from the annotation of a GenBank genome assembly. Lineage: Eukaryota; Fungi; Basidiomycota; Agaricomycetes; Agaricales; Marasmiaceae.
UCCCUGGUAGUAUAUCGGUUAGUACACGCGCCUGUCACAAAAUCGUCGGACCGUUGCGCGCGAAAGCUGGGUUCGACUCCCAGCCAGGGAG